This 930-nucleotide ribosomal RNA is filed under the name Alytes obstetricans (midwife toad). Its description in RNAcentral is "partial 16S ribosomal RNA". The stretch from base 157 to 930 matches the Rfam family "Bacterial large subunit ribosomal RNA", at positions 568 to 1953 of the family's 2925-position model. Lineage: Eukaryota; Metazoa; Chordata; Amphibia; Anura; Alytidae. The record is from RNAcentral.
GCUGUAAACCUAGCCCUCAAAAAACAAUAACCCUCAAAUCCCAACUAAAUCAUUUAUACUCUUUAGUAUAGGCGAUAAAAAAAGAAAUAAGCGCGACAGACAGAGUACCGUAAGGGAAAGAUGAAAUAGUUAUGAAAUAGCCACCAAAGCACUAAAAAGCAGAGAUACAUCCUCGUACCUUUUGCAUCAUGGUCUAGCAAGAAACCUUAAGCAAAAUGCAUUAAAGUUUAACCCCCCGAAACUAGACGAGCUACUCCGAGGCAGCUAUAAGAGCAAACCCAUCUCUGUGGCAAAAGAGUGGGAAGACCCCCGAGUAGAGGUGACAAGCCUACCGAGCCUAGUGAUAGCUGGUUGCUUACGAAAAGAAUAUUAGUUCUGCCUCAUAACUGUUUAAAGCACUAUAAAGCAAAUAACAAACUUGAGAGUUAGUCAAAAGGGGUACAGCCCAUUUGACUCAGGAAACAACCUAACACCCAGGGUAAAGAUUAUAAUAAACAAGGAUUUUGACCCAGUGGGCCUAAAAGCAGCCACCUACUAAGAAAGCGUCAUAGCUCUAUCAGCACCCAACCCAACAAUCCCAAUAACCACUCUGAUCCCUCCUAGUAGUAAGCCCUCCUAUUCACAUAUAGAAUUGUUUAUGCUAGAACUAGUAACUAGAAUAAUUCUCCUAAUGCAAGUGCACAUCAGCCCGAAACACUCACUGAUAACUAACGACUACUGAACCCACUGUAGUAACACUCCCAGAAAAACCUACACGAACCAUCGUUAACCUAACACAAGAGCAUCCCAGAAAAGAUUUAAAGACGUGGAAGGAACUCGGCAAACACGAACUUCGCCUGUUUACCAAAAACAUCGCCUCUUGUCAACUAUAAGAGGUCCCGCCUGCCCAGUGACUACAUGUUCAACGGCCGCGGUAUUAUGACCGUGCAA